This 818-nucleotide long non-coding RNA is filed under the name Homo sapiens (human). RNAcentral's name for it is "non-protein coding lnc-AGBL4-3:1". Lineage: Eukaryota; Metazoa; Chordata; Mammalia; Primates; Hominidae. The record is from RNAcentral.
GAAGUGUCCAGAAUAGAAUCACAUUCAAUAAAUAUCUGCUAAGUAAGUGUUGAAUUAGUGCUCCCAAUGUCUGGUAAUGGGGCUUUCUACAUCAACCACUUUUCUUGACUGAUGCUUCUCUCGGGCAAACCCAGAUAUUUUUGAGUAAGGGGUCACUGGACUCUGCUUACAUACCUUCAGUGAAAGGGAGCUCAUUCACUACUUUUCCAAUAAUUUGCCUCAUUUUGGGCUACCUCUGACUGCGGUGCAGGGACUGCCAAGUGUCCACCCAGAGUUUCAUUUAUAGCUUACAACAAACUUGAGAUAGAUAAAAUCACUAACUUUUUAACAGGAGGAAAAAAGAGACUCAGUUGUCAUACAUAACCUCUGCCUGAGCCUGUUUAGCCUCUGUCAUUCCCCACUGAUUUCAGCACCAGAACCUUCCAACUGUCCUCUGUGGCAGACCUUUUUACAACCUCCACCCAACUCUCUGAUGCCCAAAUACCAACCUGAGAAUUCCUAUACUUUACAUGUUGGGACCUCAAAUGCUUUUGAGGCUUUUACAUGACUCUUAAACAUCUGAAUCUCUUAGGCGUUGAGUUUCCCCAUCUGGCUAUUCUUCUGCAGGUGACCCUAGGAACCGUCUGUAUUCCCACUGUACUUGGCCUUAUCCUUCCCACCCCUGAUGGUAUCACUGAGAAAAUACACCUCAUUCCCCAAGCCCACGCUAAAAACAGAAAGGGUUAGAAAGAUGGUUUUUUGUUUUUUGUUUGUUUGUUUUAGAGAUAAAGUCUCACUCUGUCGCCCAGGCUGGAGUGCAGUGGUGCAAUCAUGGCUCA